GUGGGGAAUUUUGGACAAUGGGCGAAAGCCUGAUCCAGCCAUGCCGCGUGCAGGAUGAAGGCCUUCGGGUUGUAAACUGCUUUUGUACGGAACGAAAAGACUCCUUCUAAUAAAGGGGGUCCAUGACGGUACCGUAAGAAUAAGCACCGGCUAACUACGUGCCAGCAGCCGCGGUAAUACGUAGGGUGCAAGCGUUAAUCGGAAUUACUGGGCGUAAAGCGUGCGCAGGCGGUUAUAUAAGACAGAUGUGAAAUCCCCGGGCUCAACCUGGGAACUGCAUAUGUGACUGUAUAGCUAGAGUACGGUAGAGGGGGAUGGAAUUCCGCGUGUAGCAGUGAAAUGCGUAGAUAUGCGGAGGAACACCGAUGGCGAAGGCAAUCCCCUGGACCUGUACUGACGCUCAUGCACGAAAGCGUGGGGAGCAAACAGGAUUAGAAACCCCGGUAGUCC
Molecule: ribosomal RNA, 450 nt
Filed under: uncultured bacterium
Lineage: Bacteria
Description: partial 16S ribosomal RNA
Rfam family: Bacterial small subunit ribosomal RNA
Source: RNAcentral